GCCAGCAGCCAUAUGACUCUGCAACACACAGCUGGCAGCCCACUGGAGCUCAGCAGUGUGAGCCUGGUCAGUACCUGGAUGGGAGACCUCCUGGGAAAAACUAAGGUUGCUGCUGGAA
Molecule: ribosomal RNA, 118 nt
Filed under: Lepisosteus oculatus (spotted gar)
Lineage: Eukaryota; Metazoa; Chordata; Actinopteri; Semionotiformes; Lepisosteidae
Source: RNAcentral